RNAcentral lists this ribosomal RNA (240 nucleotides) under Triticum aestivum (bread wheat). Its description in RNAcentral is "partial small subunit ribosomal RNA". Lineage: Eukaryota; Viridiplantae; Streptophyta; Magnoliopsida; Poales; Poaceae. The record is from RNAcentral.
AUGGCAAUAGUCCAACGGUGGGGUAAACUGGAUUAUUUUAUCACAAUGACUUGCAGUCCACAUUGGGAGGAGAUAACCCAGAAUCUGAUGCCUGGACAACUGCCACAAGACCGUCCAGACCUUGUGGCAAGAGUAUACAAGGCUAAACAGCGAGAUAUGAUGGACUUGUUAACUAAGGGUAAGCAUUUCGGAGAAGUCGCAGCUUAUGUACAUGUCACAGAGUUUCAAAAAUGAGGCCUC